This 253-nucleotide ribosomal RNA is filed under the name uncultured bacterium. RNAcentral's name for it is "partial 16S ribosomal RNA". It matches the Rfam family "Bacterial small subunit ribosomal RNA", at positions 524 to 776 of the family's 1533-position model. The record is from RNAcentral.
UACGUAGGCAGCAAGCGUUGUUCGGAGUUACUGGGCGUAAAGGGUGCGUAGGCGGCUUUAUAAGUAUGGUGUGAAAUCUCCCGGCUUAACUGGGAGGGUGCGCUAUAGACUGUGGGGCUAGAGUGUGGGAGAGGAAAGUGGAAUUCCUGGUGUAGCGGUGAAAUGCGUAGAUAUCAGGAGGAACACCGGUGGUGUAAACGGCUUUCUGGACCAUAACUGACGCUGAGGCACGAAAGCGUGGGUAGCAAACAGG